Molecule: long non-coding RNA, 1392 nt
Filed under: Prunus dulcis (almond)
Lineage: Eukaryota; Viridiplantae; Streptophyta; Magnoliopsida; Rosales; Rosaceae
Description: sRNA ncRNA
Source: RNAcentral
CCAAAGAGAGAGAUGGUUUACUCUGAGCACAAAAGCAUUACUGUUCUUAUGCUUCCAUGGCUAGCUCACGGCCACAUUUCUCCCUUCCUAGAGCUUGCCAAGAAGCUUACCUCUAAGAGAAAUUUUCACAUCUUUAUCUGUUCCACGCCUGUCAAUCUCACCUCCAUUAAGCCAAAACUCUCUCCAAAAUACUCUCAUUGCAUUGAAUUUGUGGAACUUCAUCUUCCACAUGAAGAGUUGCCUGAAUUGCCACCUCAUUACCACACCACCAAUGGCCUCCCUCCUCAUCUCAUGUCCACUCUCAAAAGGGCCUUCGACAUGUCCAGCAAUAACUUCUCCAACAUCCUCACAACCCUAAAGCCAGAUUUGCUCAUUUAUGAUUUUAUUCCACCAUGGGCACCCUCUCUAGCUUCGUUGCAAAAUAUUCCAUCGGUCCGGUUCAUCACCACCAGUGCUGCCUUGAGCUCCCUUCGUGUUCACCAUCUCAAGAACCCUCGUGUCAAGUUUCCUUUUCCUUCGAUCUAUCUUCGGGAUUACGAAGCUAAAAAGUUCAACAAUCUGUUAGAACCUUCGUCAAAUGACAUCAACGACGGAGACCGCGUCCAGCAAUGCAGUGCUCGAUCAUGCAACAUCAUUUUGGUGAAGACAUCUAGAGAGAUUGAAGCAAAAUAUGUUGAUUAUCUCUCUGGUUUAAUGGGGAAGAAGAUCGUGCCAGUUGGUCCGCUUGUUCAAGAGCCAAUGGAUCUAAAAGUUGAUGAGGAAACAUGGAUCAUGAAAUGGCUGAACAAAAGGGAAAGGUCUUCGGUUGUUUAUGUUUGCUUUGGGAGUGAGUACUUUUUGUCCAGGGAGCAAAUCGAAGAGCUAGCUCAUGGGUUAGAGCUUAGCAAAGUGAGCUUUAUUUGGGUUAUAAGAUUUCCAAAGGAAGAGAAAGGUAAAAGAGUUGAAGAGGUGUUACCAGAAGGGUUUUUAGAGAGGGUGGGGGAGAAGGGAAUUAUAGUGGAGGGUUGGGCUCCGCAGGCAAACAUAUUGAAGCAUUCAAGUGUUGGUGGGUUUGUGAGUCACUGUGGAUGGAGCUCAGUGUUGGAGAGCAUCAAGUUUGGUGUUCCAAUUAUAGCCAUGCCUAUGCAUCUUGACCAGCCAAUUAACGCUAGAUUAGUAGAGGAGGUGGGUGUUGGUGUGGAAGUUAAAAGAACAGGAGAAGGAAUUUUGCAAAGAGAAGAGAUGGCGAAGGUGAUCAGAAAGGUGGUUGUGGAGAAAAUUGGAGAGGGCAUGAGAAAAAAGGCAUUGGAAUUAAGAGACAACAUGAAAAACAAAGAUGGAGAGAUAGAUGGGGUCGUGGAGGAAUUGAUGCAAUUUGUAGGAGAAGGGAAACAAAUAUCUACUUUUAAGUGA